AGAAAGAAACUCAAAUCUGAACUCUUCAUGUCAGCUGUCACUCACUGCAUCUCAGAUCAAUGUUUGGUCAGAAGAUCAGAGUUCAUCAGUGAGAAUAACCUGCUUCUACACUGUGAAGAAGGGAACAGAGAAUGUACCAUCUCCUCACUCUGAUCCAGUGACAGUCACAGUCCAGAACCAAUUGCUUCAUUUCUGUCUGGACUCAUAGGACUGAUCUCUCUGUGCUGUUUUACUAGUUCUAUUGUUGUUCUCAUAGAAGUGAACUACACCUCCUGCCAGAUGGAGAAAACACCUCUGUUUACUUCUGUGCUCCUCAAAACAUCAGUAACUUGCUUAAUUUCUACACUUGAUGCAGUUAUUGUUAUUUAGAAAAAAAUCAUAUGUCAUGAUGACACGAAAACAUCAUGUCAUCUUUGAUGCAGAUUCAAUAUGGAAUGUUGAGGGAUGUUGUUGCAGAUUCAAAAUAGGAUCAGUUAAGAUCUGAAACUUAAAAUAAAAAAA
Danio aesculapii is the source of this 501-nucleotide long non-coding RNA. RefSeq lists it as uncharacterized. The record is from RefSeq and is a predicted model, not a curated record. The transcript has 3 exons. Lineage: Eukaryota; Metazoa; Chordata; Actinopteri; Cypriniformes; Danionidae.